AUCAGUUGGAUUUGUUGGCCUUCACAA
This 27-nucleotide small RNA is filed under the name Bombyx mori (domestic silkworm). RNAcentral's name for it is "ovarian small RNA-12434". The record is from RNAcentral. Lineage: Eukaryota; Metazoa; Arthropoda; Insecta; Lepidoptera; Bombycidae.